CAGUCGCCGCGGUAAUACAGAGGGUGCGAGCGUUAAUCGGAUUUACUGGGCGUAAAGCGUGCGUAGGCGGCUUUUUAAGUCGGAUGUGAAAUCCCUGAGCUUAACUUAGGAAUUGCAUUCGAUACUGGGAAGCUAGAGUAUGGGAGAGGAUGGUAGAAUUCCAGGUGUAGCGGUGAAAUGCGUAGAGAUCUGGAGGAAUACCGAUGGCGAAGGCAGCCAUCUGGCCUAAUACUGACGCUGAGGUACGAAAGCAUGGGGAGCAAACAGGAUUAGAGACCCCAGUAGUCCCUGUCUCUUAUAA
This 301-nucleotide ribosomal RNA is filed under the name uncultured bacterium. RNAcentral describes it as "partial 16S ribosomal RNA". It matches the Rfam family "Bacterial small subunit ribosomal RNA", at positions 509 to 809 of the family's 1533-position model. The record is from RNAcentral.